UUAAUUACUUAUAUGAAUUUUAGAGUAAAUUACAAAUUUGGUCCUUAUGUUUAAAUAAAAGUUCCAAGUUUAUUUCAAAUUUUAAAAUUGUGUCGACGUCAUAAUUAAAUUUGGAUGGAACUUGCAAUUUUAAGUGUAGACUCAGUGCCGGCCCAAGCCCAGGGCGAGAAGGGCCAUGGCCUAGGGCAACAAUUUCUAAUGAGGCAUCAAUUUUUCAUAGCCUCUUAUAGGUAUUAUGUAUUAGGGUAUAUUUGGGCCUGUGAGGCUGUUAAGAAGACUGAACACUAGUCCAGUAAACCAUCACGUUCAAGACUUGGGGCAACAAAUUUUUGGAGACCUAACAGCAGCAACUACAACGGUACAACAAUUACGACUCUUCGAUCUAUACUUCUAAUAAUUGAAGAUGAAGAACACGAGGCGUCCCUAGCGUCCCUGCUGGAGAAUGGAGAUGGACAAUCAAGAUUUAGUCUGCAUCAAUUCAAUCGCCUACUGCCCUAUUAUCUCUUCCAGUCUUCCGAUUCAUUGCUUCAACACUCAACAGUUCAGCACUUCUCUUGCCCUCUCUCUUGAUAAAUCGACUUCUCCAGUUCUCAUAUAUUCUUCUUUCUUUCUUUCUUGAAUCGUCCUCUACUGAAUGUCUGAAUCGUCCCUACUAGUUUAUCUAUUGCUCUAAUUCUAUUGUGCUAAAGACUUAAAGUGAAGAUUCAAAGGUGGAAACAGUGAUUGAAUGAAUACUUCUCCUCUUAAGGUCCUAAUCCGUUUUUUUAUUAAGGUUCCUGGAGUCUGGAGAAGUGAAAUUUUCGGUCCAACUCAUCCAAAAUUGCAGACUUGCAUUGUUGUUCAUCUUGGAUUACACUAAGCUUCAUUAUUUCCAGGGUUUUUAAAGUGUUUGGACGACGUUGUGGCAAUCAUAUGGAAGCCAUACGUGAAGUUAAUGCCAAGCUAUAACGUUGGAGGAAGGAGCUCAACCUGUGAAUUGUUGUAAUCUACAGCAGCUCAAAUUUCAAAAUUGUUUCUCUGUCCCAUAAAUAAUCCAUGGGGAUGAGUCUAAGUGGAAGACAAACGAAGAAUUUGAAAGAGAAAUAAUGACAGGAAUAAACCCAACCCUGUUUUAAUUUGAUGUUAUCAUGUUAGUGUCAAGGAAAUUGAACCAUGGUCGGCUAGACUUCUACUUUGAAGACACGUUAGUUUAAUGCGGACAUGACUUAAUUUGAUAACCUUUAUAUAUUAUUGUUUUCUUUUUCUUUUCAUUUACAAAUUUGCUCUUAUGGCGUGUGUUUGUUAAUGUGUAGUUUGAUUACAUUGUAUUAUUAUCUACAUCGGUUGGAAUCAUAGAUUAGAUUACUUUUCUCUUUUGAAAUUGAAU
Lactuca sativa (garden lettuce) is the source of this 1366-nucleotide long non-coding RNA. RefSeq lists it as uncharacterized. Lineage: Eukaryota; Viridiplantae; Streptophyta; Magnoliopsida; Asterales; Asteraceae. The record is from RefSeq and is a predicted model, not a curated record.